RNAcentral lists this ribosomal RNA (454 nucleotides) under Hydrogenophaga sp. KB18. Its description in RNAcentral is "bacterial SSU rRNA". It matches the Rfam family "Bacterial small subunit ribosomal RNA", at positions 24 to 473 of the family's 1533-position model. The record is from RNAcentral. Lineage: Bacteria; Pseudomonadati; Pseudomonadota; Betaproteobacteria; Burkholderiales; Comamonadaceae.
UCAGAUUGAACGCUGGCGGCAUGCUUUACACAUGCAAGUCGAACGGCAGCACGGGAGCAAUCCUGGUGGCGAGUGGCGAACGGGUGAGUAAUGCAUCGGAACGUGCCCAGUCGUGGGGGAUAACGCAGCGAAAGCUGCGCUAAUACCGCAUACGAUCUAUGGAUGAAAGCGGGGGACCGUAAGGCCUCGCGCGAUUGGAGCGGCCGAUGUCAGAUUAGGUAGUUGGUGGGGUAAAGGCUCACCAAGCCAACGAUCUGUAGCUGGUCUGAGAGGACGACCAGCCACACUGGGACUGAGACACGGCCCAGACUCCUACGGGAGGCAGCAGUGGGGAAUUUUGGACAAUGGGCGCAAGCCUGAUCCAGCAAUGCCGCGUGCAGGAAGAAGGCCUUCGGGUUGUAAACUGCUUUUGUACGGAACGAAACGGUCUGGGUUAAUACCCUGGGCUAAUGAC